Small nucleolar RNA from Rattus norvegicus (Norway rat), 73 nucleotides. Ensembl annotates it as small nucleolar RNA, C/D box 61. Its record names the gene Snord61. The record is from Ensembl. Lineage: Eukaryota; Metazoa; Chordata; Mammalia; Rodentia; Muridae.
GCUGUGAUGAAUUUGAAUCCACUGAUCAUCUGACAUGAUAAAUGCAUUUUGUCCUCUAAGAAGUUCUGAGCUU